Molecule: ribosomal RNA, 433 nt
Filed under: uncultured bacterium
Lineage: Bacteria
Description: partial 16S ribosomal RNA
Rfam family: Bacterial small subunit ribosomal RNA
Source: RNAcentral
AGCGAACGCUGGCGGCAGGCCUAACACAUGCCAGUCGAACGGACCCUUCGGGGUUAGUGGCGGACGGGUGAGUAACACGUGGGAACGUGCCUUUAGGUUCGGAAUAGCUCCUGGGAACGGGUGGUAAUGCCGAAUGUGCCCUUCGGGGGAAAGAUUUAUCGCCUUUAGAGCGGCCCGCGUCUGAUUAGCUAGUUGGUGAGGUAACGGCUCACCAAGGCGACGAUCAGUAGCUGGUCUGAGAGGAUGACCAGCCACACUGCGACUGAGACACGGCCCAGACUCCUACGGGAGGCAGCAGUGGGGAAUCUUGCGCAAUGGGCGAAAGCCUGACGCAGCCAUGCCGCGUGAAUGAUGAAGGUCUUAGGAUUGUAAAAUUCUUUCACCGGGGACGAUAAUGACGGUACCCGGAGAAGAAGCCCCGGCUAACUUCGUG